Molecule: ribosomal RNA, 255 nt
Filed under: uncultured bacterium
Lineage: Bacteria
Description: partial 16S ribosomal RNA
Rfam family: Bacterial small subunit ribosomal RNA
Source: RNAcentral
UACAGGGGGGGCAAGCGUUGUUCGGAAUUACUGGGCGUAAAGGGCGUGUAGGCGGUUUGUUAAGUCAUGUGUAAAAUCCCUCGGCUCAACCGGGGAACGACGCAUGAAACUGGCAAGCUAGAGUACCAAAGAGGGGGGUGGGAAUUCCCGGUGUAGCGGAUGAAUGACGUAGAUAUCGGGAGGAACACCUGUGGCGAAGGCGGCCCCCUGGUUGGAUACUGACGCUGAUACGCGAAAGCGUGGGGAGCAAACAGG